CCUACGGGAGGCAGCAGUGGGGAAUAUUGCACAAUGGGGGGAACCCUGAUGCAGCAACGCCGCGUGGGUGAAGAAGUACUCCGGUAUGUAAAGCCCUGUCAGCAGGGAAGAAAAUGACGGUACCUGACCAAGGAGCCCCGGCUAACUACGUGCCAGCAGCCGCUGGAAUACGUAGGGGGCAAGCGUUAACCGGAAUUACUGGGUGUAAAGGGAGCGUAGACGGCAAGGCAAGUCUGGAGUGAAAGCCCGUGGCCCAACCACGGGACUGCUUUGGAAACUGUGUUGCUGGAGUGCAGGAGGGGUAAGCGGAAUUCCAUGUGUAGCGGUGAAAUGCGUAGAUAUAAGGAAGAACACCAGUGGCGAAGGCGGAUGACUGGAUGGAAACUGACGGUGAGGCGCGAAAGCGUGGGGAGCAAACAGGAUUAGAUACCCUAGUAGUC
Molecule: ribosomal RNA, 440 nt
Filed under: uncultured bacterium
Lineage: Bacteria
Description: partial 16S ribosomal RNA
Rfam family: Bacterial small subunit ribosomal RNA
Source: RNAcentral